Phalacrocorax carbo (great cormorant) is the source of this 7103-nucleotide non-coding RNA. The record is from RefSeq and is a predicted model, not a curated record. Lineage: Eukaryota; Metazoa; Chordata; Aves; Suliformes; Phalacrocoracidae.
CGCCCGGCCGCCAGGGGGCGCCGGCGCGCAGCUCGGGAGGAGCGGCCCGAGGGGGCGGGGCGGGGCCGGGUCCGCCCCGCCCACGGAAGCGCCCCUCACCCGGCCCCCGCCGCACGCGUCCGCUACACCGCAGGGCUCAGCGGCCGCCUUGCCGCCCGGAGCGGUGGGCGCGGAGGAGGCCCGCAGGCCCCCGCCCCGUCCGGCGCUCUCCCGCCACCCUCCCGCCCCUCCGCACUCGCCCAGGAGGUAGCACGACCCGCGCGCUCCGGGCGCGGCGCGAGCAGCCAAUACGGAGCGAGCACCGCCCGCUGGCCCUCCCCGGUGGGCGGGCCCGUCCGGCCGCGCGGGCCCCUGAGGCAAGCGGCGGGGAGGCGGUGGCUGCCGCCGGGCCGGGUCCUGCCUCGCCCCGCCUCUCCGGAGCUCCCUCACACGCCCACGGCCCGGCGCCGCUGCUGAGGGCGAGGGGCGAGCUCCGGGCCGCCCCGUCCCGCCCCGACGCCUGAGGAGCUCCGCGCCGGCCGCUUCCUCCACCCCCCCGCGGGCCUUUGGCGCCGCCGCCGCCGAGCGACCGGCUGCCGCGCCGGCUGGGCCCGGGAUGCAGGAGAACAAACUCACAGGAGAAGAAGAAAAUAUGUGAUGUGCUUUCAGAAAUAACACCUUGAGGGGUCUGAUCUUUUGUCACUUUCGUCUGAAAGAGGUACAAGGGACAGGACUAAAUGGGUGCUUCUGCUGACUUACAUGGUAUCUACUGUGUAUCUGGUGCAUACCGGCACUGGAGUUUGCUAGUUAAAUCCUGGCAGGCAGCUCUGGAGCAUGAACUGUAUUUAAAGAAGUUUAGAUACUGUUUUGGAUUUAGUUACCUUUGAAAAGCUGUCUUACUGAAGACAUAUGGUGUAGUUGCUUGGAAAUUAUUUUGUACUGCUGACAAAGAUUUUGCACUUUCAAGAGCUGAAGUGAAAGAGCAGCAGCACAAUAAACUGUGGGCACCAUAUAGCCAGUCUUCAUAGCCAUAACCCCGCUUGUGACAUCUGAGCAUUUAAAGAGAGUCGUUCAAGGUAGUCAAUGAAAAUUGGAGUUGUUAACUGGCUAUGACCUAAAAGCAACAGGAAAGAAUUCUUACAGCUUUGACAGGGAAAGAACAGCUAUAUUUUCUGUCCCUUAAUGAAUUAAAAAAGACUUUCAGUUACUAAGAUGCAGAGAAAACAGCAAAUAUAUUAUGCACCUGACAACAGCAGACAGCAGCAGGAAACAACAAAAGAGGCUAUAUCUCUGGAUUCUGUUAAAGGCACUAGUAGAUGCAUAACAUGUUGAUUUCCAGCUUAAGUUACACCAAUAACUUAGAGGACUAAACCGGUAACUGGUAUUAUUCUGUUCCUGAUAUGCAGUGCAAGUAUCCCGUAUACAUAAACAGCAGUGAACCCUAGAGUAUAAGCAGUAAUUAUAAUCAGAAAAACAAAUGCACCAUUCAGAGGAAGACAAAAACCCCCACAAACCCAAAACACUUCAGCAGAAAGUCAGGUUGUUCAAGUUUGAAUUGGUAGAAGGUUUCUUUGUACCACUCUUCCCUGUUUUCAUAAGGCAUUUAGAUAUUUUUGUACUUCUGGGGGAGUGGGGGUGCUGGGGAAGCAACAGAAGUUUCUGCAAGCUGCCUUUUUAAGUGCAUCUCAGAAGCAGGAGUGUCCAUCUUUCAGCUUACUCAAGAAACAGCAAACAAAUAAAGAAGUAUAGUCUGGUCCUAUCAUUACAUUUUGGUGCUACAAAUCUGAGGAAUUAAAACCAAUUACAUGUAGAUGUGUUGAAAAUAAAUACUGUCAUUGUGAGGGGGAGUGUAACAGAAGGAAGUAGUUUUAUUUGCAAUAAAGUUCUUUCCCUGUAAGGUAAUAAUCUUGGAACCUGAACCACUGGCUUCCCUAUUGUGCUGUUUUUUACUGGUUUUCCUGGAAAGCUGCCUUGCUCUGAAUGGUGAAGGUGACACUAGACUGAGGUUUCUUCCUUCUGUCAGUAUUGCCUUGGGAGAAAACACCCCAGCUGUAUGCUACCCCGUUACCUAUUUAGAGCAGAACCAGUUGUAGGGACAGUCUCAAGUGUACCUGGGAUCCAGGAAGUUGCUUUGGCUAUGUCAGUUGUCUGCUGUGAGAAACUUUAUUUCUUUGUUUCGGUUUGAGACCCUCAUGGAUUCGCUGCCAGUGUCAUUCUCCCAGUUGAGCCUUUCUUAGGAGCAGUGGGGUGCUAUUUCCCGGUCUGACACUUGCAGAAUAAGGUCCCAGGCCCUACUUCUACAUGGCAUCCGUAGCUAAUCAGCUGUGAGAAGAGUGAUACAAGCCUAACUCUUCUUUGGCAUAGGAUAUAAUGUCUCCCUGUCAGCUGGGUACCUGAAGCCAGGCCUGGAGACUGCUCGGAUGGCAGUGCCUGCUGCAUACCCAGCAUUUACUGCACAUUACAUACUGCACAGAUGUCGCAGUGUCACAGUUUGUGGUUGAACAAUUUGAAAAGAGAGAUCAAUGUAAAAGACAGCAAGAUAUGUCAAUUAAACCAGAUACAUGGAACAGCAAUGCUACUUCCAGUCAUGAAGGGAAAAGUGAUAGGAGUUCGAGUUUCUUUGGGAAAUGAGAGAAAAAUAUCAUGAGGGAUGUAUAUUCCACGCAAAGAUGUGCACUAGAAUGCACACAUUUUCUGAAAUCGCAUUUCUCUCCAUGUGUUUCAGUGGAAUAAAGACCCCAUGACUUGUGAAUGCCAAGUCCUGUUAGACAUCGUGGACCAUUUCAAUGAGAUUCUUGGAUUAACUGAACUUUUUCCCCAUCACGUGUGGAAUAACUGCAUCCAAAAUCUGAACUAGUGAUCAUCAGGGAGACAGAGCUGCUGCAUGGGUAUUGUUAGCAAAAAGCUGAUCUCUGAAAUGGUGAAUUAUCUCGAGUAAGCCAAAAAUUAAGAGAUUCUGAGCCUUUGAUGUAAUUUAUUUUCCCCUUCUGGGGACAACCUUUCUCCCUCUUGGGCUGUUUUAAAAGGAACAUUCUCUUAUGAAUAAAUAUGACAAAUAGAAAAAUAAAAAUAUAGAAACAAACUAUGUAAACGCAAGCCCUGAGGUAUUUCAAGCACACAGUGGAAUUUUUAUACCUGACAUGCAAUCUAAAGGUGCCAGUAAGAAAAUCUACUUUAUGGCUUUGUAAAAACGUCCCGUCUUUCUUUCCUGCCUUACACCCGCAAGAAACGGUGAGAGGUUGAGGUAAGAGCCCCAUGGAAGCUGUGAUAGUCACAGAAGCAGAAACAGAGGAUAUUAAAGUGCUGCGUGUCUUUACCUGACCAUUUUCACUCUUCGGUUGGCUUCCACAGGCCAGUUAGAUUCUACAGAGUAUCUGACAAAGCUGCUGCUUUUCUGGAUAUAGGCUCUGCUCCUGCACCAGCAUAUAUACCAUUAGAGUCUUGCAGGAUAAAGGGCUUCUGAAUAAAGAUUUUAGUGGCCCCUUUAGCUCAUAGAUUUUUUUUUUUUUUUUUGGUGCGUGCGUGUGCGCGUGUGUGUGUGUGGCUAGCUUGGGAAUCUUAAGCACACUUUGCACUGCAAUUGCUCCCAAAUGACUGCGUUAUCUUGCCAGCUUCCCACCUCUUUCCCUCUCUUCCUUUAGCCUGGAUCUCCUUGGACAUGUUUCCUCCCCCAGAGCUUUCUGCAUUUGCAUGAAGGGUCCAGUCCUAAAAAAAAAAAAAAUCCAGUCUCUGCAUGACAGUGAAGUCAGUGGGUCUACUCAGGUGAAUUAAAGUUUGCUGGAGCAGGCCCUUUGGCAUUACUUUUUUUUUUUUAAUUAAAGUAAAAUUUUAUUAAUUGUACCCUGUUUGGGCUUUGGAAAGAACAGUUACAAAAUGGACUGUAGGCCUUACUGUUUAAAAUGGCAUUUGUUCCUCUGCUAAUUCUUGGCAAACAGGGGCUCAGUAUGAAAGGGUUUCAAGCACUGUAUACCUAUGGCUGUGUGUUCACUCUUGCAUAGUGAGACUCUGGAAGAAUAUGCAUGCAAACAUGCACACACAACAUAUCCAUUUGCACAUACUUACCUAAACAAGGCAGUGCAUACACCGGUACCUGCUCAUGUGCAUAUAUAUUUGUAAGGAGAGAUAUGCAUGGGCUUACACAAUGUCUAUAGAUGUGUAAACUCUUAAUUGCACAUAAAAAACAUUAAAAAUCAAAUUAGUCUUAGAUGCACCUUUGCUUUUUUCAUUAAGAAGGACAUUUAAAAACCCUUUUUUGUUUACUUUGGUUUUACUGUAACUAAUACAAUUCACCUGCUCACCUAAUGGGAUGUUUUCCUCUCAGUAUGUUAAAACACUAAUUAAAAUGCAUUACAAUUAUUAAACUGGGUAGAAGAGCACUUCUUGUAAAGCUUAGUCUGGAACUCCUGGGACAUAGUUGUGCAGUGAAAGUUUUAGAUCAUGUCUCUUGUGUUACGGAUCACACAGCACAGAACCAUGCUGAAUAUCAUGCCAAAGAUCUAGAAGAGAAGGGAUGCAAUUUAGGGAACCACUUACAAAACAGUUAUAAAAUAGUCUGCAUAUCAGAAAAAUCUGAAGGUUCUUAUGGCAAAGCAGCAAGUGACUGCUUCCAUCUACAAACCCCAAGACAUCAGACAAUUAUUAUAAGAGAUUUCACUGAUACUCAAAGCCAAGACUGUAUCUGCUCACACUAGCUUAAUUGUUCUUUGUUCUAAAUGUUAAGGCCAGCAUAACGGCCCCAAAUGUUAAUAUUAUAAAUUUUACUGACACCAAUAACUCUGACUAUUGGUCUUAUGCCUAGUAUUGCGCCAAAAGUUUCUGAGUUUCAGAAUGCUGCUACAUGGAUUAUCAUAUAUACUUUUGAAUAAGAGCAGAGAAUGAUUCCAGAGGAACCAGGUCUCUGGAAGUGGUGCUGAGCGUCGCAGUUUUACAGAGAAAGCUAAGCUCUUAGCAGUUACUACUCAAGGCCAAGACUAUACACUAAAUAUAAAACUCUAUUCAUGUCAGGGAACUAGUUAACUAGAGGGAAUGUUAAAAGCAGAGAACCGUGGGUGGGUAUUGCCAGAGUCUCCAGAAAUUUUCUUUUUGCCAUAGGUUGAUUCUCCAAAGCAGUUAGCAGCUACCUCCAGAUGCUUCGCUGCUAAUGAUGGGAUGUGAGCAAUACUGUCAGGCAAUUACACCGAGUUCAUAUCCCCUCCCCGCACACCUCCCUAAGGAAGAAGGAGACAGCUGACCAGUCACACCCCAAAAAGUGUCAGAAACAAGCACAAAAAAAUGUAGAGACAUCUUUUGCUGCUAAAGAGGUUAUCAUUUCGUAACUUCUGCUGUAUCUGAGACUUUCCUGCCCAGCAAAAAACUUGCCAGAGGCUUGGUACAGGAGUCUCAAGAAGGAAGAGCAAUCCAAGGGAAUUCCCUUUAUUCUAGAAGUCUUUUCUCAGUUUGCUAAGAGAGGAAUAUAUGAAAUCAACCACAGCUGAACUGCAAUAGAACAGGAAGGCUACAGUUUUGCCACACCACUUGAAGCCCAUGCACAAAAAAUGUACUGUGAGAUGGAGUAACAUAAAAAUACUGUCAUGCCUGCCACUGCAGUGGGAACUCAAAAAGUUGGGGAGCUGCAGAGAGACGAUAUCCAAUUGUAGGAGGCCACUCCAGUAAGUUACACCUGGUAAAGUGGACGGAGACUGCAUGGGUCAAAGAGUUCCAAUUCCAACCUUUUAUGUUGUAGGUUAAAAAAAUAUAAGCUGCAAUGGGGAAUAUGGAUCACUGAACACAAAACCACAAGCAACAGAAAACUAAGAACACAUAUGUGCUUGACCUCAGCGCUGCUGCCUGUAAGUUGUUCUCAAACCGACAAAAACAUUUCAGUGGCUGGAAAAGAUGAACAGGCCUGGUUGCCAAGUCAUGGCCCAAACUAUUCCAGGGGGCAGAAAAGACAGCUGGACUGCUGGUAAAGAACAAGGCUAUUUAAGGAGACUUAUUCCGGCCUAAUGGAAAAUGCAAGGAUAUAAUUACCAAUUAUUUUAAACUAAAACAACAUUUCAGAUCCAGGGAAAAAAAAAAACACAAGGAAGCACAAGAGAGAAGCUGUUUAGAUUCAGCUGGCAGCUCAAACAGGUACAAAAAGAGUGGAAUGUGCUGCUCUUUAGAAGCAAGAAAAUGAGAUGUUUUCCACAGGAUGGUGAUUCUGGACAGUGCUUCAACCUACAAGGCAAACUCUGAAUGCAGCUGCACUGUUGUUCCAAUCACUGACACAGAGCUGAUCUGAUCACAGGGGCUUGGGUUAUCGCAAGGCAGCCACAGAAGCGGUCAGUGGAACAGAGCUAAAGAAAUUAUCUUUAAAAAUAUGGCCACAUGUUUAUAUCUCCAAGUCAUACUGAUGAUUCGCUUUCUCUUUCAGCCCUCUGGGUAGCCGCUCCUUCUGUGCUGCACAGUGUUCCAUAUUAAGAAUUCCUAUGCAAAAUUCUGGCUGUCACCCAGAAUGCAUAUUACAGAGCAAACACACAAAGCCAAAUAAACAACACUCCUAGAGUCUCUGUGAGAAGGGCCCAAUACAUAAUUGUCAAGGGGGACUCAGAGCUGAAAUCUAGGGAGGUAAAGCUCUUGAGCAUGACGAUGAAGUACGGCCUUGCCUGCUGCGAAAAAAACCCCACUGUUACUGAACUUAUCACCAUUCCUCUACCACUUACUUAGUCACAGAUUGUUAAUAGCCUCAGACUUCUGAAUGGCUGCCCCAUCAGAUGCUCAGAAGUCACAGUAGCAUUUAACAUGAUUCGUAAUGAGGGAGGGCAGCAGAAAAUUUUUUAUCUAACAGGAAUUCUCUGUUCAGAGCACAAUGCCUAUUACAAAAAAGGGCCAAAACUUUCUUUAGAAUUCAGUCAAAAGUGCAAGUUUAAAAGAAUUCUCAAUAUAUUUAUGUCCCGUUCCUUAGCACUUCCUCAGUUAACAGUUACAUAUUACAUCAUACAGCUAUAUAAAUACAUGUGGCGGCUCCAUAGUUGAAUGUCAUGGGAUAUGAUGAAACUUUUACAAGACCAUUCUCCAGGACUUCUCAAAAUUAACAACUCUGAACAGCUUUUGUAAUUCCUAUUCAGGACUGAAGCAGAUUAAAUCUUUGAGAUAUUUAAAUA